GUGGUAAUGCCGGAUGUUCCACAUGAUCGCAUGUGAUUGUGGGAAAGAUUCUAUCGGCGUGGGAUGGGGUCGCGUCCUAUCAGCUUGUUGGUGAGGUAACGGCUCACCAAGGCUUCGACGGGUAGCCGGCCUGAGAGGGCGACCGGCCACAUUGGGACUGAGAUACGGCCCAGACUCCUACGGGAGGCAGCAGUGGGGAAUAUUGCACAAUGGGCGCAAGCCUGAUGCAGCGACGCCGCGUGAGGGAUGGAGGCCUUCGGGUUGUAAACCUCUUUUGUUUGGGAGCAAGCCUUCGGGUGAGUGUACCUUUCGAAUAAGCGCCGGCUAACUACGUGCCAGCAGCCGCGGUAAUACGUAGGGCGCAAGCGUUAUCCGGAUUUAUUGGGCGUAAAGGGCUCGUAGGCGGCUCGUCGCGUCCGGUGUGAAAGUCCAUCGCUUAACGGUGGAUCUGCGCCGGGUACGGGCGGGCUGGAGUGCGGUAGGGGAGACUGGAAUUCCCGGUGUAACGGUGGAAUGUGUAGAUACGG
RNAcentral lists this ribosomal RNA (527 nucleotides) under Bifidobacterium bifidum. RNAcentral describes it as "bacterial SSU rRNA". It matches the Rfam family "Bacterial small subunit ribosomal RNA", at positions 160 to 699 of the family's 1533-position model. Lineage: Bacteria; Bacillati; Actinomycetota; Actinomycetes; Bifidobacteriales; Bifidobacteriaceae. The record is from RNAcentral.